Equus caballus (horse) is the source of this 3460-nucleotide long non-coding RNA. The record is from Ensembl. NCBI's taxonomy places the organism in Eukaryota, Metazoa, Chordata, Mammalia, Perissodactyla, Equidae.
GCCAUGUUGAAAACCUCUACCUGAGAGAGUUUCUGUUUUGCGUUGUUUUUACCUUAAUCAGAGGAAAAAUUAUAGUUGGAGACCAAGAGGCUAGAGCUAUGAUCAUCACAAAACGUAAACUCCAAGGUUUUUAACGAUCAAAUGUGAACACUUGUGUCUGAGCUAAGCAGCAGUUCUAACCACUGUAACCAUGUGAUAAGAAUCCGGCCAGGUGGGACACUGUGGAACGUGGUAGCAGAUCAACUGGCAGCAAGGCUUCAAGGAAAUCUUAAUGAUAUUGGACAUUUCGUUUUUCCUGGUGUACAAGGUCCAAGAAUUUCAUCCUGCAAUUCUCUAUCAUCAGUUCUUGCACUGGAAGCAACUUCAGAGGUUAUAUAAACUCUUGAAUAACUGUAGGAAACCACCAAUGAACAGUAGAACUACCAUGGUCCCCACGCCACCAUUUCCACCAAUAACAGAAAUUGCUCCUCCUUUGACUUCUAACCCACCAGUCCCUCCUACCCCUGACCGGCGGGGAGAUUCACUAUUCACGAAGUUCUGAAGGAACUCAUUAGCCCAAUGUAGCUUCUCCCUCCAGGAAUUCUUUAGUACCACAGCUGAAGAUCAAAGACAUUAUCUGGCUGCUCCCUGUACCACAGUGUGCCCUUUUCAAUAUCCUGGAUAAAAUGACAAUGAUUCAUUAAAAAUGUUUAUAUCACUAUAUUAUGCCCAAGUGGAAUAUCAUUUCCCAUCAUUACCAGCAUUGUAAAAGAAGGAUGAGGAAAAUGAUCAAAGGAAUCUAGGAAAUAGGAUCUUUUUUCUCUGGCAAGUCAUAUGUUUAGCUAAGAAUCAGAGGUUCUAAAACAAAGGAAGAAAGGAAAAGCAAUUUGGGGAGGAGCACACAGCCUGCAGUUUCUGCCAAACUUGGGGAAGUGGUAGGUGACAGAAGGGUUCUGUCCCCAGCCUACAUCCAAGCCCUUGAAGAGACUCCUGGGAUGUUUCCAGCAGUAGGAGAGGGUGUUCUGGCCAUUUUAAUUCAGAAAGAAAUUGAUGAAGCCAUGAGGUAAUGCACUCAAAGUUUUCUUUUGCCUUAUUUGGGAGGCAACGUUCUAAGUUUCUCCCUAAUCUGUCUAGACAGAUGUACAAAGCAAAAAGAACAAGAAAGAUUUUACAGAUGUUAUCCAUUCUCCAUCUCUACAAAUAUGUAGUCCAGCUUUCUCUUUCGGGAAACAGAACAGUAACCUCUGCACCUCAGUUAAGAACAAUGAUCACUGUCUGUUAGUCCCUUCUGUUCCUCAGUGUGGAAAAGUCACUACAUGGCAUUCACAGGGGUCUUUGGUCUCAUUUGAGAAGUUUCCUACAGAGCCCUUCUUACAACUGGCUGCAACAUGGUCACACGUAGAAAUCAAAAGGAAUAGAGUUUGUGUAGGAGAGAACAUGCAUCAUUUCAUAGAAACCAAAGGCUCAGGCUUGGAAAGGACAUUAAAGUCUUCAGAAUCAACAUCCCCUGGGAGCUGGUUAGAAGAGCACCAGAGAUCAAGCUCCACUCCAGGUGAACUGAAGCGGUAUCUGCAUUUAAACAAGAUGCCUCGUGCUCCUCCACAACGUCACCAACUUGGAGAUAUCUGCCAGAAUACCUAGCAGCAGAGAGCUCACUGCAGGCAGGACGGCUCACUCCAGAAUCCUUCGCUGGGUAGCUUUGGUCUUGGAAAAGUGAUUCUCUGCAUGGAGUUAAAAUUUGGUCCUAGCUCAACUCUGGGGUUGCAUUGAAUAAAUCUAGUCUGUCUUCUCAAUGACAACCCUUCAAAUAAAUAAAGAUAGCUCUCACAGUCCUGACUUUUUCCAAGCAAAAAUUCCCCAGUCUUCCAACCACUCUCUUUAUGACAUGGUUAGAUUUGUCUCAAUAGCCAAAAAUCUUCUCCAAAUACUCUCUAGCUUUUACAUUGUCCCCGCCCCCAGUGCUGGUUUUCAGAACUGCACAUAAUAACCCAGAUGUGAUCUGGCAAAUGCAAAAAUGGGGUGAUUGCCUCCUACACCAGAUCCUAUUGUCUAUUAAUAUAUCUAUUAAUAGGAUCUAGAACUGUAACUGUCUUUCUGGAUAACCACUAAGUCCUUUUCAUGUGUUUCUGAAAACACGUUUGAUGUCUUCUGUACUUUACCUUGGACUGACCUCCCAUUUACCUCUUUAUCACUUAUCUGAUUUGAAUCAACUCAGCAUUCUCACACACACAUAUUUUUAUCUAGAUUCCAUUAUUCAAUAUGUUUGAGUUCAGUAGUCCAACAUAUGGUCUUAACUUUCUCUGUUCAUUCAUCUACCCAUGCAACAAACAAUUUUUAAGCAUCUCCUCAGUUCUGAACUCAGGAGGAAGAGAAGAGAACAAGACAGCCUGGGUCUCCGUCCUCGUGGGAUUCUCAUGCUUUGAAGCAGUAUUUGCUACACCUGGGAGAGUACUGUAACAAUACUAAAAUAUAUUUGAAUGUAUCCUACAUACCUUAAAGGGCUAUGAAUUACAGUUUCAAGUCCAAAGCACUGAGAACAAAUAGAGCACUUGGUAAAACAAGUAUUUACGUGGCUGAUAAAGGAUACAGGUAGAUUUGUCUUGACAGCUGGGGUCUGCAGGGAAAUGCCUACCCAGAACUUCCCAGCCCUGGUUCUGCUUUAGAAUCAUCUGGAAAUGUUUUUAAAACACACCAAAGGCUCAUCCCCGACCAACUGAAUGGAAAUUUCUGGUUGUGGAAGGAACCAGAGCAUCAGCAUGUUAAAAAUGCCUGGGGUGGUUCUAACGUGCAGUCAGGUCUGGGAACGGCCGCUCUACAGGGAUUCUUGGAAGUACAGCUCUGUGCCUCUUCAGACAGGCAGGGCUGGCUCAGCCAGCAGACCCUGAUGAGCACAGCUGGUGAAGUGGUUCUCCAGCUGAGGCAGGUGGGGUAGGGAGUCAGGGGAACAGCCACUGUGGGACUUCCUGACUGUUAGAUCCUGCUGCAGCUUGCCGGUGUGUUAGAAUGGGCUGGAAAGUCUGCUAGAGCUAGGCUGCAUACAGGUUUCCCCAGCUUUCUCUGCUGGCAAUCAAAAUACCUCUCAGACACAUUUGUGAGAGAUACAAGUUUGCUUUCUAGAAAGCUCUGUUGGAUGAACCUCCCUUGCAGGAUGUCUGUGUACACUUUCUGAUACAUCUCUAUGUGCCCGGCAAACAUAACGUUGAAGCUUUCUGUUCUCCUGAGUUUGCUGGUAGCAGCGAGGGAAAUGAGAAGUCAGUGUUGUUUACCUCCUGAAGCAGAAGAAUAUUUACAGUUAACACCAUCCAGAUUUUAAAUCUCUGAACAACAAAUCAAUGUCCGAGACAAAGGUCAACACAAAAGAACACUUAAUACAGCUUAGGUUCUUUAGUCAGAAUUUGAUGUCUGCCUGAUGUUUUUCUCUGACAACAGUUGUAAGUUUUUAAACAGUUGAUUGAAAAAAAUAAAAUGGACACACACAACA